UACAUAAGGUACCAUGGUGAUCUCAGGUCUAGGGAUCACUUACAUAAUUUUCACUAGAGAAUCAUCAGUUUGUUGUGAAUAGAGUCCCAAAGCCAAUCAUCAGCCUAUUGACGGUUGUGCUCAUUUUUGUAUAUGUACAUGAAUUAUGAAUUAAUAAAAAUUAUUUUGACAUUUUUCAUCACAAAAUAUUUCAUCUUCUAAUGAACUCCUAUGUUGUGGUGAAGUCCUUAGAACUAUUUAGACUCG
Molecule: long non-coding RNA, 246 nt
Filed under: Elaeis guineensis (African oil palm)
Lineage: Eukaryota; Viridiplantae; Streptophyta; Magnoliopsida; Arecales; Arecaceae
Description: long non-coding RNA (EGUI_LNC078143)
Source: RNAcentral